RNAcentral lists this small RNA (92 nucleotides) under Sinorhizobium meliloti 2011. RNAcentral's name for it is "putative ncRNA". The record is from RNAcentral. Lineage: Bacteria; Pseudomonadati; Pseudomonadota; Alphaproteobacteria; Hyphomicrobiales; Rhizobiaceae.
AAAUCGAACCGGUCGGUUCGAUUUCGAUGAAGUUGACGAAAAGUUUUGUCCGCACCCGCAGUUUUUCCCGGAAUUGUCUGCGAUAGUGAUUU